UACGGAGGGGGCUAGCGUUGUUCGGAAUUACUGGGCGUAAAGCGCACGUAGGCGGACUGGAAAGUCAGAGGUGAAAUCCCAGGGCUCAACCUUGGAACUGCCUUUGAAACUAUCAGUCUGGAGUUCGAGAGAGGUGAGUGGAAUUCCGAGUGUAGAGGUGAAAUUCGUAGAUAUUCGGAGGAACACCAGUGGCGAAGGCGGCUCACUGGCUCGAUACUGACGCUGAGGUGCGAAAGCGUGGGGAGCAAACAGG
Molecule: ribosomal RNA, 253 nt
Filed under: bacterium
Lineage: Bacteria
Also listed under: 3 other names
Description: partial 16S ribosomal RNA
Rfam family: Bacterial small subunit ribosomal RNA
Source: RNAcentral